This 304-nucleotide ribosomal RNA is filed under the name uncultured Desulfobulbus sp. RNAcentral describes it as "bacterial SSU rRNA". It matches the Rfam family "Bacterial small subunit ribosomal RNA", at positions 1080 to 1382 of the family's 1533-position model. Lineage: Bacteria; Pseudomonadati; Thermodesulfobacteriota; Desulfobulbia; Desulfobulbales; Desulfobulbaceae. The record is from RNAcentral.
UUAAGUCCCGCAACGAGCGCAACCCUUGCCUUUAGUUGCCAGCAGUUCGGCUGGGCACUCUAAAGGGACUGCCGGUGUUAAACCGGAGGGAAGGUGGGGGAUGACGUCAAGUCCUCAUGGCCUUUAUGACCAGGGCUACACACGUACUACAAUGGCCGAUACAAAGGGCAGCGACACUGCGAGGUGAAGCCAAUCCCGUAAAAUCGGUCUCAGUCCGGAUUGGAGUCUGCAACUCGACUCCAUGAAGUUGGAAUCGCUAGUAAUCGUGGAUCAGCAUGCCACGGUGAAUACGUUCCCGGGCCUU